UAUUGUUCUUCAACGAGGAAUCCCUAGUAAGCGUGAGUCAUCAGCUCACGUUGAUUAUGUCCCUGCCCUUUGUACACACCGCCCGUCGCUACUACCGAUUGAAUGGCUUAGUGAGACUCUCGGAUCGGGUAUGAAGAACCGGAAACGGUUCUUUUUAUUUGAGAAGUUUGUCAAACUUGGUCAUUUAGAGGAAGUAAAAGUCGUAACAAGGUUUCCGUAGGUGAACCUGCGGAAGGAUCAUUAGAAAUUUUUUUAUGUAUUCAAAAACUUUAAAUCUUUAUUACAUAUAAUAUUUAAAUAAACGAGAUAACUUUUAACAACGGAUCUCUUGGCUCUUGCAUCGAUGAAGAACGCAGCGAAAUGCGAUAAGUAAUGUGAAUUGCAGAAUUCCGUGAAUCAUCAAAUCUUUGAACGCAAAUUGCACUCCUUGGUAUUCCGAGGAGUAUGCUUGGUUGAGGGUUGUUCCAAUAAAUUCGUUUUUUUCAAAGAACGGAUCUGAGUUUUCCAAAUUCUAAAUUUGGUAACUUGAAAUUUAUCUUAACGAUAUCUUUGGUAUGAUAUUAAAAAUGGUCAUAUUCUUGCAUCUCGCGAGUUUCAUUCACAAUUGAUUACCUGUCGUUACGUCGUAUCAUUUGCCUAAUCCUUUUUGGUUGGGUCAUGUGAUACAAUUUUUUCUUCAACACCUCAAGUCAAGUAAGAACACCCGCUGAACUUAAGCAUAUCAAUAAGCGGAGGAAAAGAAACUAACAAGGAUUCCCUUAGUAACGGCGAGUGAAGCGGGAAGAGCUCAAAUUUUAAAUCUCCGAGGUUUCCUUGGCGAGUUGUAAUUUGAAGAGAGUGUUUGACAUUCGGGUUUGAUCCAAAUCCUUUGG
This 872-nucleotide ribosomal RNA is filed under the name uncultured Glomus. Its description in RNAcentral is "eukaryotic LSU rRNA". The stretch from base 1 to 243 matches the Rfam family "Eukaryotic small subunit ribosomal RNA", at positions 1591 to 1831 of the family's 1831-position model. The record is from RNAcentral. Lineage: Eukaryota; Fungi; Glomeromycota; Glomeromycetes; Glomerales; Glomeraceae.